This 253-nucleotide ribosomal RNA is filed under the name uncultured bacterium. RNAcentral describes it as "partial 16S ribosomal RNA". It matches the Rfam family "Bacterial small subunit ribosomal RNA", at positions 524 to 776 of the family's 1533-position model. The record is from RNAcentral.
UACGAAGGGGGCUAGCGUUGCUCGGAAUUACUGGGCGUAAAGGGCGCGUAGGCGGCACUGUUAGUCAGGCGUGAAAGUCCUGGGCUCAACCUGGGAACUGCGCUUGAUACGGCAGAGCUAGAGGAUGGAAGAGGCUCGCGGAAUUCCCAGUGUAGAGGUGAAAUUCGUAGAUAUUGGGAAGAAUACCGGUGGCGAAGGCGGCGAGCUGGUCCAUUACUGACGCUGAGGCGCGACAGCGUGGGGAGCAAACAGG